Marmota monax (woodchuck) is the source of this 507-nucleotide non-coding RNA. The record is from the annotation of a RefSeq genome assembly. NCBI's taxonomy places the organism in Eukaryota, Metazoa, Chordata, Mammalia, Rodentia, Sciuridae.
CAACAGCUUGGAGCCCAGUGGUUCCUCCCUCACCCUGACAGGCUCCCCUUCCAGUGCAGAGCCCUGGAGUCAAAGAAGAAUUUCUUCUAAAGGAAGAAGGCAAACAUGGUGCUGCCCAGGCUGCUGAAGCUGCUCAUGGUAUCAAUGUGGCUGGGAUCCAGUUUUGCCCAGAAGGUGACUCAGGCCCAGCCAGCCAUUUGGGUGCAGGAGAAGGAGGCUGUGACCCUGCACUGCUCCUAUGACACUAGUAAAACAAAUUAUGGUCUCCUCUGGUACAAGCAGCCCAGCAGUGGAGAGAUGGUCUUCCUCAUCCUUCAGAACUCUUACAGCCAGCAAAAUGGCACAGAAGGUCGCUACUCAGUGAAUUUGCAGAAGGCAAGCAAAUCCAUCCAACUUGUCAUCUCAGCCUCACAGCUGGGGGACUCAGCAGUGUAUUUCUGUGCACUGACAGAAGACACAGUGAGAGAACAGUUAGAGGGAGGUGCACAAAAACCCAGGGUCUGGUGA